This 898-nucleotide ribosomal RNA is filed under the name Pristionchus lheritieri. Its description in RNAcentral is "SSU rRNA". It matches the Rfam family "Eukaryotic small subunit ribosomal RNA", at positions 39 to 966 of the family's 1831-position model. The record is from RNAcentral. Lineage: Eukaryota; Metazoa; Nematoda; Chromadorea; Rhabditida; Neodiplogasteridae.
AAAGAUUAAGCCAUGCAUGUCUAAGAACAUUUGCGUAAACAUGAAUCUGCGAACGGCUCAUUAUUAACACCCGUAAUCUACCCAGUUUUCGUAUCCAAAACGGAUAUCUGCGUUAAUUUUGGAGCUAAUACGUGCACCAAAGCACCGCCAGCAAUGGUAGUGCGCACAUAUUAGAUCAAGACCUAUUGGGGCAACCCACUUGAUGACUCUGAAUAUUUUUGCGGAUCGCAUGGUCUUGUACCGGCGACGUACUGGUCGAGCGGGUGCCCUAUCAACUAUUGAUGGAAGUCUAUGUGUCUUCCAUGGUUGUAACGGGUAACGGAGAAUAAGGGUUCGACUCCGGAGAGCUAGCCUUAGAAACGGCUAUCACAUCCAAGGAAGGCAGCAGGCGCGUAAAUUACCCACUCUCAAUUCGAGGAGGUAGUGACUAUCAAUAACGAGACAGAUCUCUUUGAGGUCUGUCAUUGAAAUGAGCACAACUUAAAGACUUUAACGAAGUCUAUGGGAGGGCAAGUCCGGUGCCAGCAGCCGCGGUAAUUCCAGCUCCCAACGUGUAUAUCGUCAUUGCUGCGGUUAAAAAGCUCGUAGUUGGAUCUAAGUUCAUGACUGUAGUUCUCCAUGUGAGAUACUGCUAGUCUGGACUGUUUCGCCGGUUUUCCGUAGCUUCGGCUGCGGUGACUGGUGUUGUAACUUUGAUUAAAUCAAUGUGAUUAAAACAGGCGUUUGCUUGAAUGCUUUAUCAUGGAAUAAUAGAAUAUGACUUCGGUCCAUUCUGUUGGUCUUGGGAUUGAAGUAAUGAUUAAAAGGAACAACUCGGGGGCAUCCGUAUCGCUGCGUGAGAGGUGAAAUUCUUGGACCGCAGCGAGACGACCUAUUGCGAAAGCAUUUGCCAAGAAUG